This 497-nucleotide ribosomal RNA is filed under the name uncultured bacterium. RNAcentral describes it as "partial 16S ribosomal RNA". It matches the Rfam family "Bacterial small subunit ribosomal RNA", at positions 28 to 507 of the family's 1533-position model. The record is from RNAcentral.
GAUGAACGCUGGCGGCGUGCCUAAUACAUGCAAGUCGAGCGAACGGACGAGAAGCUUGCUUUUCUGAUGUUAGCGGCGGACGGGUGAGUAACACGUGGAUAACCUACCUAUAAGACUGGGAUAACUUCGGGAAACCGGAGCUAAUACCGGAUAAUAUUUUGAACCGCAUGGUUCAAAAGUGAAAGACGGUCUUGCUGUCACUUAUAGAUGGUUCCGCGUUGCAUUAGCUAGUUGGUAAGGUAACGGCUUACCAAGGCAACGAUGCAUAGCCGACCUGAGAGGCGGAUCGGCCACACUGGAACUGAGACACGGUCCAGACUCCUACGGGAGGCAGCAGUAGGGAAUCUUCCGCAAUGGGCGAAAGCCUGACGGAGCAACGCCGCGUGGGUGAUGAAGGUCUUCGGAUCGUAAAACUCUGUUAUUAGGGAAGAACAUAUGUGUAAGUAACUGUGCACAUCUUGACGGUACCUAAUCAGAAAGCCACGGCUAACUACGUG